GCACCGGUAGCUCAGUUGGAUAGAGCAUCUGGCUACGAACCAGGAGGUCGGGGUUCGAAUCCUCCCGGUGCGCCA
Molecule: transfer RNA, 75 nt
Filed under: Alcanivorax sp. IO_7
Lineage: Bacteria; Pseudomonadati; Pseudomonadota; Gammaproteobacteria; Oceanospirillales; Alcanivoracaceae
Description: tRNA-Arg
Rfam family: tRNA
About the family: Transfer RNA (tRNA) molecules are approximately 80 nucleotides in length.
Source: RNAcentral